ACGAACGCUGGCGGCGUGCUUCACACCUGCCAGUCGCACGGAAAGGCCCUGCUUUUGUGGGGUGCUCGAGUGGCGAACGGGUGAGUAACACGUGAGUAACCUGCCCUUGACUUUGGGAUAACUUCAGGAAACUGGGGCUAAUACCGGAUAGGAGCUCCUGCUGCAUGGUGGGGGUUGGAAAGUUUCGGCGGUUGGGGAUGGACUCGCGGCUUAUCAGCUUGUUGGUGGGGUAGUGGCUUACCAAGGCUUUGACGGGUAGCCGGCCUGAGAGGGUGACCGGCCACAUUGGGACUGAGAUACGGCCCAGACUCCUACGGGAGGCAGCAGUGGGGAAUAUUGCACAAUGGGCGGAAGCCUGAUGCAGCAACGCCGCGUGCGGGAUGACGGCCUUCGGGUUGUAAACCGCUUUCGCCUGUGACGAAGCGUGAGUGACGGUAAUGGGUAAAGAAGCACCGGCUAACUACGUG
RNAcentral lists this ribosomal RNA (467 nucleotides) under uncultured bacterium. RNAcentral describes it as "partial 16S ribosomal RNA". It matches the Rfam family "Bacterial small subunit ribosomal RNA", at positions 29 to 507 of the family's 1533-position model. The record is from RNAcentral.